GAUCCUAGCUCAGGAUGAACGCUGGCGGCGUGCCUAACACAUGCAAGUCGAACGGGGUCGUUUUGGAAAUCUCUUCGGAGAUGGAAUUCUCGACUUAGUGGCGGACGGGUGAGUAACGCGUGAGCAAUCUGCCUUUAAGAGGGGGGAUAACAGUCGGAAACGGCUGCUAAUACCGCAUAAAAGCAUACUAAAUUCGCAUUUGUUUUUAGAUCGACCGAAAGGAGACAACUCCGUCUUUAGAUAGAGCUCGCGU
This 253-nucleotide ribosomal RNA is filed under the name uncultured bacterium. RNAcentral describes it as "partial 16S ribosomal RNA". It matches the Rfam family "Bacterial small subunit ribosomal RNA", at positions 15 to 236 of the family's 1533-position model. The record is from RNAcentral.